UAGUAACUGCGAGUGAAGAGGGAAAAGCUCAAAUUUAAAAUCUGGCGGGCUCUGCUCGUCCGAGUUGUAAUCUGGAGAAGCGUUUUCCGCGUCGGACCGUGCACAAGUCUCCUGGAACGGAGCGUCAUAGAGGGUGAGAAUCCCGUCCAUGGCACGGAGCGCCGAUGCUUUGUGAUACGUUUUCAAAGAGUCGAGUUGUUUGGGAAUGCAGCUCAAAACGGGUGGUAAAUUCCAUCUAAAGCUAAAUAUUGGCGAGAGACCGAUAGCGAACAAGUACCGUGAGGGAAAGAUGAAAAGCACUUUGGAAAGAGAGUUAAACAGUACGUGAAAUUGUUGAAAGGGAAACGCUUGAAGUCAGUCGCGUCCGACGGAACUCAGCCUUGCUUCGGCCUGGUGUACUUUCUGUCGGACGGGUCAACAUCAGUUUUGACCGGUGGAGAAAGGYAGGGGGAAUGUAGCGCCGUUUCGGCGGCGUGUUAUAGCCCCUUGCUGUAUGCAUCGGUCGGGACUGAGGACCGCAGCACGCCUUUUUGGCCGGGGGUUCGCCCUACGUACCGUGCUUAGGAUGUUGGCAUAAUGGCUUUAAGCGACCCGUCUUGAAACACGGACCAAGGAGUCCAACAUGCUUGCGAGUGUUCGGGUGGAAAACCCUUGCGCGUAAUGAAAGUAACAGUUGGGAACCUCCGCAAGGGGGUGCACCGACGCCCGGCCCUGAAGUUCUCUGACGGUGCUGCGGUAGAGCAAGUAUGCUGGGACCCGAAAGAUGGUGAACUAUGCCUGAAUAGGGCGAAGCCAGAGGAAACUCUGGUGGAGGCUCGUAGCGAUUCUGACGUGCAAAUCGAUCGUC
RNAcentral lists this ribosomal RNA (847 nucleotides) under Phellinus nigricans. Its description in RNAcentral is "eukaryotic LSU rRNA". It matches the Rfam family "Eukaryotic large subunit ribosomal RNA", at positions 81 to 906 of the family's 3401-position model. Lineage: Eukaryota; Fungi; Basidiomycota; Agaricomycetes; Hymenochaetales; Hymenochaetaceae. The record is from RNAcentral.